UCAGCAGCCCUGGAAUCUGAAAUCCUUUAUUUAUCCGACUAACAAGAAUAGCACAGACAGCAGCAGUUGGUUCUCCCCAACACUGUCUCCCAUGAGACUAACCUAGCCCUGACCUCUUGGGACGGGCAGGAGUGUAGCUCUGGCCACCGGAAUACUGAGGCUGGGACUUG
Propithecus coquereli (Coquerel's sifaka) is the source of this 170-nucleotide unclassified non-coding RNA. NCBI's taxonomy places the organism in Eukaryota, Metazoa, Chordata, Mammalia, Primates, Indriidae. The record is from Ensembl.